UUGGUGAAAUUUCUUGGAUCGUCGCAAGACGGACCGAAGCGAAAGCAUUUGCCAAGGAUGUUCUCGUUGAUCAAGAACGAAAGUUAGAGGUUCGAAGGCGAUCAGAUACCGCCCUAGUUCUAACCAUAAACGAUGUUGACUGGCCAUCCGAUAAAGGUCCUUUGAUGCCUUAUCGGGCAGCCUCCGGGAAACCAAAGUGUUUGAAUUCCGGGGGAAGUAUGGUUGCAAAGCUGAAACUUAAAGGAAUUGACGGAAGGGCACCACCAGGAGUGGAGCCUGCGGCUUAAUUUGACUCAACACGGGAAACCUCACCAGGCCCAGACACUGGAAGGAUUGACAGAUUGAGAGCUCUUUCUUGAUUCAGUGGGUGGUGGUGCAUGGCCGUUCUUAGUUGGUGGAGCGAUUUGUCUGCUUAAUUGCGAUAACGAACGAGACUCUAGCCUGCUAACUAGUCGUUUCCAGCUUCCUUUGUGCAGCUGGCGAAGACAAAUCUUCUUAGAGGGACAGGCGGCUUCUAGCCGCACGAGAUUGAGCAAUAACAGGUCUGUGAUGCCCUUAGAUGUCCGGGGCCGCACGCGAA
RNAcentral lists this ribosomal RNA (580 nucleotides) under Kakothrips priesneri. RNAcentral describes it as "SSU rRNA". It matches the Rfam family "Eukaryotic small subunit ribosomal RNA", at positions 908 to 1497 of the family's 1831-position model. Lineage: Eukaryota; Metazoa; Arthropoda; Insecta; Thysanoptera; Thripidae. The record is from RNAcentral.